RNAcentral lists this ribosomal RNA (245 nucleotides) under uncultured bacterium. Its description in RNAcentral is "partial 16S ribosomal RNA". It matches the Rfam family "Bacterial small subunit ribosomal RNA", at positions 524 to 768 of the family's 1533-position model. The record is from RNAcentral.
UACAGAGGUCCCAAGCGUUGUUCGGAUUCACUGGGCGUAAAGGGUGCGUAGGCGGUUGGGUAAGUCUGAUGUGAAAUCUCCGGGCUCAACCCGGAAACGGCAUUGGAUACUAUCCGGCUGGAGGGUUGGAGGGGGGACUGGAAUUCUCGGUGUAGCAGUGAAAUGCGUAGAUAUCGAGAGGAACACCAGUGGCGAAGGCGGGUCCCUGGACAACCCCUGACGCUGAGGCACGAAAGCCGGGGGAG